Long non-coding RNA from Nyctereutes procyonoides (raccoon dog), 202 nucleotides. RefSeq lists it as uncharacterized. The transcript is spliced from 3 exons. The record is from RefSeq and is a predicted model, not a curated record. Lineage: Eukaryota; Metazoa; Chordata; Mammalia; Carnivora; Canidae.
UGAGAGGCAUGUGAUGCAGAAGAAGAGGAUAUGUCAGAGAAGCUUAGAAACAAAGGGUACCCCAAGGAGCGGCAACAUUUCAGGACUUCUUGGGUGGAAGAAAGUUGGCAGAGAGAAAGUCCACGGGUACCCAAGUUCCGGAUGAAGCCAAAGUGAAGGAGAACAUGAAGCACUAGAGAAAGGAGUUUGAACAGAAAGGGAG